CAGCAUUUUGCACAAAGCUGGCAUGUGAAGAGGAAGCCAGUCAUGACAAAUACUACUGAAAUGGCAACAGAGCACAACGUAUAAUGCACAAGAGCAUAUAGAAUGGCAGAGGAGAUAUAAGUGAAUAAGAGGAACUGUAGCAUUUUUUAAACAUGGAAAGCACAGGGAGGAGUGAAACCUAAUUUAUCAGACAAGAAGCUAUCAACCAAUGAGCAUGCAGAAGGUGAAACAAACAAGAGGUGAAUUCUGCCCCUCUUGCUUGCAAGUGGAUACAAGAUUGAAGAACUCAUUGGAUAAGCCAGACAGUCCAGGAGAGAUUCAUAUUUGAGGGAAUCUCAACACAAUGGAUUGGAUAGCUGGACCAUCCUAUCACCUUAAAUAAAGCUACACAUCUGAGUUUCCAAUGAAAGACAAAUACAGGAAAAAAAAAACCCGAAGAGCAGUGAAAACAAAGAUAAUAAUGAAA
This 466-nucleotide long non-coding RNA is filed under the name Suricata suricatta (meerkat). Its description in RNAcentral is "lncRNA (ENSSSUG00005000818.1)". The record is from RNAcentral. Lineage: Eukaryota; Metazoa; Chordata; Mammalia; Carnivora; Herpestidae.